Molecule: long non-coding RNA, 2569 nt
Organism: Chrysemys picta bellii (western painted turtle)
Lineage: Eukaryota; Metazoa; Chordata; Testudines; Emydidae
Source: Ensembl
CAUCAUCAAAGGAAGGAAAAUGGUAGGCAUGAGUAAACCACAAAACCACCCUCCCGGAAACAGAGUUAAAAACAUGUUUAGGAGAUCUUUUAUUUACUACUUCACAAAUUGCUGAUGACUGUAGCACCAAGUGUUUCAAAUGAGGUUUUCAGUCAUCCACAUUAGGAAUCCGAAGAAAAUGAAGCCACUUGUCGUAUUGUUUAUGAUUUCUUAUUUUAUUCAACUCACAGUUACCAGUGGAGCAGAACUUUCAGUUGUACAAUAUCCCCAGGACAUCAAUGUGUCUCUUAAUUCAACUGUUUUGAUACUGUGUGAAUUUGACUACCCAGAUAAAACCAUAAAUAAUACAUUGACAGAGGUGUAUUGGAGGAAAGACCCUACCAGUAAUCAGCCGGCGCUCCAGCCAACCACAAGUACCUCUGAUGUUCAAAAGUCACAGAUACAAAUUAAAACAGAACAGUCCAAAAAAAUUUCAAUCUUACGACUGGACAACGUUCAGCUGAAAGAUGCUGUCAUGUAUUUCUGUGAUGUAUGGCUAACUUUUCCACCACCGGUAAGGCACAAAUUUGGAAGUGGCAGCAGGCUGACAGUACAUGAGUCCAAAUGCAAUGGCAAUAUCAGACAUGAUAAAACGUGGUGGGUGUGGUUCUUUCUUCUUGGAUACAGCAUCUGUUCCUCCGUUAUUAUCAUAGCUUUCUCUAUUCUUCAGUGCUGUAAAAAGCAUAGGAACAACUCAAGAAAUACAGAUGGCAUCUGCACUUUGCCAAGCGAAUGGAUUUAUGAUAAACCAUCCAUGACUCUUAAUAAUGGAUUUAACCAAGAAUAUGAAGAUAUGAGACUAAUAAAGACUUUUACUCACAGUGGAAGAUAUGAAAAAGCUGGAUGCAUGCAUAAUUGAAUUACAUUAGCACAUGUAACAAGUACUUUUCUACCCCCACAAAAAACUUGGUUAAUUUAGAGUUAGCGUUGCUGAUGUGAAUUUCGUAUCAACACAAUCACUAAAAAUCAAAGAAACCACCAGUUAAGGCAAAAUGAACAUUGAAGCCCAUCUCACUGUAUAUGUCUUACCACCCAAAGGCACUCAGAAUCCUCUGACAGAUCUAAUUCUUCUUAAUCACAAGAACAAAGGUACAGCAUGAAUGUUCAUCUUCGGUUAGAUUAUGAUACAUUCCCCAUGAGCACAAAUGCAGUGGCAAAAUCUGCAAUGUGUUAUUUGUCCAUUAAAAAGUAGGAUGUCAGAUUUAGAAUUGUGAAUUGGAGUGUGUUUGGGAGGAAUUCCCAUACCUAUCACCAGCCUACUAUUUUGCCCCACCUCUAUUUCCUUCUUUCGGUGCCCCUUUUUGCCUCUCAACUCCUUUCAACCUCUCCCACUCUCAGAUAUCCAGCCAUUUCCCUCACUCUGAUCACCUUGGAUAUAUACACUUCCCAACAAAAUGUAGCUUGCAAGGGAAGGGAAAAAAAUCUACUUUAAAAUUACUGGAAACAUACUGAUGUGCACAUAACAUAUGUGAGUGAAUGCAUGAGCUAAGUACCGUAACCCUUGUCCUGUCUUCCCUGAUCCUCCUGACUCACUGAUGUGUCAUGUCCAAAAUUAGAUUGUAAGCUCUUCUGGGCAGGCACAAUGUCAUUUAUAUUUUCUAAGGUACCUAGCACACUUGUAAAGCCUGUAUAAAUAAUUUAGCGAGGCUGCAUAGAAAUAGUUUACUUUCAUUUGCAUAGUGAUUAACUACUACUUGAGGUAGUCUUACAACAGAAUGAAUAAUGGUUGUAUAUAAAUGACUUGGGGAAAAUUAAUACUUCUGGACAAAAUCUACUCAAAUUGCCCUGAAAGAAAGAGCAAUUUUUUUGCAUAAGCUGAUAUUGUUUUGACUCCAUAUUGAUGAGCAGAUAUCUCACCAAGGAAAGUAACCGUCUUGGGUCGAAGGAGGAGGUUGCUAUAACUGAAUGGCAGAAGCUACCACAGACAUUCUCUUUAGAGCAGUGGUUCUCAAACUGUAGGUCGGGACCCCAAAGUGGGGUGUGACCCCAUUUUAAUGGGGGCACCAGGGCAGGCCUUAGACUUGCUGGGACCCAGGGCUGAAGCUGAAGCCCAAGCUCCACCCUCACCUGGGGCAGAAGGGGGUCGCGGUGCAAUGAAGUUUGAGAACUUCUAGAGUGUCUUCUUCUUAGCAAGUAUCAGAGGGGUAGCCGUGUUUGUCUGGAUCUGAAAAAAGCGAGAGUCCUGUGGCACCUUAUAGACUAACAGACAUAUUGGAGCAUAAGCUUAUGUGGGUGAAUAAGCUUAUGCUCCAAUACGUCUGUUAGUCUAUAAGGUGCCACAGGACUCUUCAUUGCUUCUGCUUAGCAGACUCUCAAAGUGCUGUGUUCUCUGACCGGGGUAAAAGACUAAACAAUCCCCACCAUGCUAUAAAUCAUGGUGAUUUUGCAAUAUUUUGUAACAUUAAAUGUAAUGCCAAUCUAGUGAGGCUUUCUGCAGUACUUGUCUAGGCAUUUAGGUGUUUAUCUUUUAUUUAAUCGUGCUAUCUCUCUAUUUGUAAAAUUGCCAAUAAAAACACUUUGGUUUAAGCCA